Chinchilla lanigera (long-tailed chinchilla) is the source of this 724-nucleotide long non-coding RNA. RefSeq lists it as uncharacterized. The record is from RefSeq and is a predicted model, not a curated record. Lineage: Eukaryota; Metazoa; Chordata; Mammalia; Rodentia; Chinchillidae. The transcript has 2 exons.
AGAGGCAAGGAAAGGGAGUCUUCAGGGCGGGAGACACCCGUGCAGUGGGGAGCCUCGCGGCACAAGGACAGAAAAAAAUCGCAGAAGAUGUGGCUGAAUCCAUGGAGGAAAGAAGGACCUGAACCAGAACAGCUCAGAAAAGCUGAAUUACGAAGCAGGUGUUGAACUUGCAACCUCAAACUUGCCAGGCAGGCGCUGUGCUGCUGAGCUACGUCCCCGGCUCUAACAGUUGACUCUGAUGCACCUUUGUUAGCCAUUGCUACACUUGACCUCUGCAUGUGGUGUUCUAGAAGAAGCGCCAAGAUGUGGUGUGUGAAUUAGAGUUCAUCCACACCUAAGGAGCUUGCACACAGACUGUACUUUCCAGAUACCAUCUCAGGGGCCGAGGGUUAUACAGCUCAGCGGUAUGGUGCUUACCGAGUGUGGGAGAAGCUUUGGGUGUGGAUCUCCAGCAUGGCAAAAAGACACUGUCUCAGAGUUUGGAACCAUACCGUUGCUUUCUAGUGGCCUGAAACUCUGGAAACCACCUGGUGACCCGGCCUGCUGGGACUUUGCCUGGUCCACCCAGCCCAGCUUUCUGCUCAAGUUCCGGUGUAAAAAGUAGGGCUUCAAAUGCACAACAUAAGCUCUUCCUUGAAAACGCCACAUUUUGAAAAUGUCCCUGUCUGGUUCGUUUUCUAUAGCCAUUGCAAUAAACUGCCAGAAACUUGGUAGGUUGAAACAA